RNAcentral lists this unclassified non-coding RNA (347 nucleotides) under Hevea brasiliensis (rubber tree). Lineage: Eukaryota; Viridiplantae; Streptophyta; Magnoliopsida; Malpighiales; Euphorbiaceae. The record is from RNAcentral.
AUCAGAAGCAUUUUGAUCCUUCUCAACAAGGACUCUUGCAGGUUCAAUAGAGUCCAAAGAACCAUAAUUUCUGAUAGGCAAGGCAGCAGAAUUGUGAACGGAAUUAGAUUUAGAAUCAGCAGAAUUCCAAACCCUAGAGGCAGAAGUUGGAGAUCCGAGACCAGCAAUGGAAGAGUCAAUACUCGAAGAAAUAGAACGAAUCGGCUGAAAAUCGUAACUGGGAACGAUCUCCUCCUUCCUAAUCCCAUUAUCACCAGCACUUCCAAUGAUGGAACUAGUAUUGCAAUUAUAAUGACUCUGGUGUUGACUGUCGUCCUCGGGAGGAUUCAUCAGAUCAAUAAAAUCUC